AAACUAACAAGGAUUCCCCUAGUAGCGGCGAGCGAAGCGGGAAAAGCUCAAAUUUGUAAUCUGGCGUCUUCGACGUCCGAGUUGUAAUCUCGAGAAGUGUUUUCCGUGAUAGACCGCAUACAAGUCUCUUGGAACAGAGCGUCAUAGUGGUGAGAACCCAGUACACGAUGCGGAUGCCUAUUACUUUGUGAUACACUUUCGAAGAGUCGAGUUGUUUGGGAAUGCAGCUCAAAUUGGGUGGUAAAUUCCAUCUAAAGCUAAAUAUUGGCGAGAGACCGAUAGCGAACAAGUACCGUGAGGGAAAGAUGAAAAGCACUUUGGAAAGAGAGUUAACAGUACGUGAAAUUGUUGGAAGGGAAACACAUGCAGUGAUACUUGCUAUUCGGGGCAACUCGAUUGGCAGGCCCGCAUCAGUUUUCCGGGGCGGAAAAGCAUAGAGAGAAGGUAGCAGUUUCGGCUGUGUUAUAGCUCUUUAUUGGAUUCGCCCUGGGGGAUUGAGGAACGCAGCGUGCUUUUUGCAUGAGCUUCGGCUUAUCCACGCUUAGGAUGCGGGUUUAUGGCUGUAUAU
Molecule: ribosomal RNA, 568 nt
Filed under: Sporobolomyces pararoseus
Lineage: Eukaryota; Fungi; Basidiomycota; Microbotryomycetes; Sporidiobolales; Sporidiobolaceae
Description: Sporidiobolus pararoseus partial large subunit ribosomal RNA
Rfam family: Eukaryotic large subunit ribosomal RNA
Source: RNAcentral